UACAGAGGGUGCGAGCGUUAAUCGGAAUGACUGGGCGUAAAGGGUGCGUAGGUGGUUUAAUAAGUUAGGUGUGAAAGUCCUGGGCUUAACCUGGGGAUUGCGCUUAAGACUGUUGAGCUAGAGUACUGUAGAGGAAGGUGGAAUUUCCGGUGUAGCAGUGAAAUGCGUAGAUAUCGGAAGGAACAUCAGUGGCGAAGGCGACUUUCUGGAUAGCUACUGACACUGAGGCACGAAAGCGUGGGGAGCAAACAGG
RNAcentral lists this ribosomal RNA (253 nucleotides) under uncultured bacterium. RNAcentral's name for it is "partial 16S ribosomal RNA". It matches the Rfam family "Bacterial small subunit ribosomal RNA", at positions 524 to 776 of the family's 1533-position model. The record is from RNAcentral.